Molecule: ribosomal RNA, 175 nt
Filed under: Pseudomonas sp. PsSoW01
Lineage: Bacteria; Pseudomonadati; Pseudomonadota; Gammaproteobacteria; Pseudomonadales; Pseudomonadaceae
Description: partial 16S ribosomal RNA
Rfam family: Bacterial small subunit ribosomal RNA
Source: RNAcentral
GGCCUGGGCUACACACGUGCUACAAUGGUCGGUACAGAGGGUUGCCAAGCCGCGAGGUGGAGCUAAUCUCACAAAACCGAUCGUAGUCCGGAUCGCAGUCUGCAACUCGACUGCGUGAAGUCGGAAUCGCUAGUAAUCGCGAAUCAGAAUGUCGCGGUGAAUACGUUACCCGGGC